ACCUUGUUUAGUGUACAACACAACUCAAUCCCCAUUAAUUUUAGGAAAUGCAUUAACCCUUUUGCAGGAAACUGCAAACUAUCUUUCGACACAAGUAACAUUUUUUCUUGCUUUCUGUAUAAGUAGUAGGGGCUAUGUUGCAGCAACAGUAGGCUCUUGCUUUUCAAGAGACUACAUCGCAAUGAAAGCUCUCUCAACUGCCAUGGUUAUCCUAGUCGCCCUCACCCUGGCCUUCACCUCUGCCAUUUCAACAUUACUUCCGGAGCAUCGGUGUGUCAAAAGUCUGCAGUCCACCACAACAUGUGAUGCAUAUAGAUGUGAGCAAAAGUGUUCUACAAUGGCUUAUGGUCAUGGAAUAUGCAGUGACAGCAAUUGCAUAUGCACUUAUUUCUGCCCCCAGCCUCCCAAAUAGAGUCUUUCUUGUUUCCUAAUAUUCAGUUUCAUGUAUGAUUUGCAACAAUAAGAGAUUUCUUUCAAUCUCUUGUGUUUUUCAAGAAUUGUGUACACCUUUAUUUUUAUUGGAGAUUGGAGAACACAUUGUUGGAUUUAUUA
Salvia hispanica is the source of this 552-nucleotide non-coding RNA. Lineage: Eukaryota; Viridiplantae; Streptophyta; Magnoliopsida; Lamiales; Lamiaceae. The record is from RefSeq and is a predicted model, not a curated record.